This is a non-coding RNA of Lepus europaeus (European hare), 131 nucleotides long. NCBI's taxonomy places the organism in Eukaryota, Metazoa, Chordata, Mammalia, Lagomorpha, Leporidae. The record is from RefSeq and is a predicted model, not a curated record.
UGUCUCUCCCUUGGGGCUCUGGGGGUCCCUUUCCUUCCCAGCCAGGGCUGGAGCCCAAGGUUAGCCCUCACUAAGGACCAUUGUUGGGACUGUGCAAGGUGGUAAAUCUUGUUUUCCUACCUCAGGCAGCU